AUUGAACGCUGGCGGCAGGCCUAACACAUGCAAGUCGGACGGUAGCACAGAGAGCUUGCUCUUGGGUGACGAGUGGCGGACGGGUGAGUAAUGUCUGGGGAUCUGCCCGAUAGAGGGGGAUGACCACUGGAAACGGUGGCUAAUACCGCAUAACGUCGCAAGACCAAAGAGGGGGACCUUCGGGCCUCUCACUAUCGGAUGAACCCAGAUGGGAUUAGCUAGUAGGCGGGGUAAUGGCCCACCUAGGCGACGAUCCCUAGCUGGUCUGAGAGGAGGACCAGCCACACUGGAACUGAGACACGGUCCAGACUCCUACGGGAGGCAGCAGUGGGGAAUAUUGCACAAUGGGCGCAAGCCUGAUGCAGCCAUGCCGCGUGCAUGAAGAAGGCCUUCGGGUUGUAAAGUACUUUCAGCGGGGAGGAAGGCGGUGAGGUUAAUAACCUUGCCGAUUGACGUUACCCGCAGAAGUAGCACCGGCUAACUCCGUGCCAGCCGCCGCCGUAA
RNAcentral lists this ribosomal RNA (504 nucleotides) under uncultured bacterium. RNAcentral's name for it is "partial 16S ribosomal RNA". It matches the Rfam family "Bacterial small subunit ribosomal RNA", at positions 29 to 523 of the family's 1533-position model. The record is from RNAcentral.